RNAcentral lists this ribosomal RNA (227 nucleotides) under uncultured bacterium. RNAcentral describes it as "partial 16S ribosomal RNA". It matches the Rfam family "Bacterial small subunit ribosomal RNA", at positions 109 to 334 of the family's 1533-position model. The record is from RNAcentral.
CGUAACACGUGAGGAACAUGUCCUUCGGCGGGGAAUAGCCGGCCUAACGGCCGGGUAAUACCGCGUACGACGGCUGGGGCGCAUGCCCUGGCCGUGAAAGCGGCAAUGCGCCGAUGGAGUGCCUCGCGGCCUAUCAGCUUGUUGGUGGGGUAACGGCCCACCAAGGCAUCGACGGGUAGCUGGUCUGAGAGGACGAUCAGCCACACUGGGACUGAGACACGGCCCAG